GAACGUACGCUGGCGGCACGCCUAACACAUGCAAGUCGAACGAAGUAGCAAUACUUAGUGGCAGACGGGUGAGUAACAUGUAGGUAUCUGCCCUUUGGCCUGGAAUAACACGAGGAAACUUGUGCUAAUACCGGAUAAGUCUUUACGGAGAAAGCUUUAUGCACCAUUGGAUGAGCCUGCACUUGAUUAGUUUGUUGGUGGGGUAAUGGCCUACCAAGACUGUGAUCAAUAGCUGAUUUGAGAGGAUGAUCAGCCACAUUGGGACUGAGACACGGCCCAAACUCCUACGGGAGGCAGCAGUGGGGAAUCUUGCACAAUGGAGGAAACUCUGAUGCAGCGAUGCCGCGUGAGUGAAGAAGGCCCUUGGGUUGUAAAGCUCUUUCGUCGGGGAAGAAAAUGACUGUACCCGAAUAAGAAGGUCCGGCUAACUUCGUGCCAGCAGCCGCGGUAAUACGAAGGGACCUAGCGUAGUUCGGAAUUACUGGGCUUAAAGAGUUCGUAGGUGGUUGAAAAAGUUAGUGGUGAAAUCCCAGAGCUUAACUCUGGAACUGCCAUUAAAACUUUUCAGCUAGAGUAUGAUAGAGGAAAGCAGAAUUUCUAGUGUAGAGGUGAAAUUCGUAGAUAUUAGAAAGAAUACCAAUUGCGAAGGCAGCUUUCUGGAUCAUUACUGACACUGAGGAACGAAAGCAUGGGUAGCGAAGAGGAUUAGAUACCCUCGUAGUCCAUGCCGUAAACGAUGUGUGUUAGACGUUGGAAAUUUAUUUUCAGUGUCGCAGGGAAACCGAUAAACACACCGCCUGGGGAGUACGACCGCAAGGUUAAAACUCAAAUGAAUUGACGGGGACCCGCACAAGUAGUGGAGCAUGUGGUUUAAUUCGAAGAUACGCGCAGAACCUUACCAACACUUGACAUGUUCGUCGCGACUCUAAGAGAUUAGAGUUUUCGGUUCGGCCGGACGAAACACAGGUGCUGCAUGGCUGUCGUCAGCUCGUGUCGUGAGAUGUUGGGUUAAGUCCCGCAACGAGCGCAACCCUCACUUUUAGUUGCCAUCAUUAAGUUGGGCACUCUGAAAGAACUGCCAGUGAUAAGCUGGAGGAAGGUGGGGAUGACGUCAAGUCCUCAUGGCCCUUACGUGUUGGGCUACACACGUGCUACAAUGGUAUCUACAACAGGAAGCAAGACUGCGAAGUUAAGCAAAUCCCUAAAAGAUACCUCAGUUCGGAUUGCACUCUGCAACUCGAGUGCAUGAAGCUGGAAUUACUAGUAAUCGUGGAUCAGCGUGCCACGGUGAAUGCGUUCCCGGGUCUUGUACUCACCGCCCGUCAA
RNAcentral lists this ribosomal RNA (1326 nucleotides) under uncultured Alphaproteobacteria bacterium. RNAcentral describes it as "bacterial SSU rRNA". It matches the Rfam family "Bacterial small subunit ribosomal RNA", at positions 27 to 1400 of the family's 1533-position model. The record is from RNAcentral. Lineage: Bacteria; Pseudomonadati; Pseudomonadota; Alphaproteobacteria.